This 249-nucleotide ribosomal RNA is filed under the name Triticum aestivum (bread wheat). Its description in RNAcentral is "partial small subunit ribosomal RNA". Lineage: Eukaryota; Viridiplantae; Streptophyta; Magnoliopsida; Poales; Poaceae. The record is from RNAcentral.
AUGACUACUUUCACCUUAACAACAAAUAGCAAUCUAAUUCAAGGUGUCGUUCAAAAUGCAGGGUGUCCUAGCGCAUGUCGUCUCGGUGGAAUAGCAGGGGUGGCAGGGUCACCACAGCGGGGUGGACAACAAGAAAGGGUGAGGAGGUUGGCAGUGGGUGAGAAGGAGCAGCAAAGUCGGACGUGGCAGGAAGGAGCGCUGAGGCCAUGGUGGAGGAUAGGCCAGCGAUGGAUGCAAGGAGCUACGUGA